GGCCGCGGGAAUUCGAUUAGAGUUUGAUUCUGGCUCAGGAUCAUUGCUGGCGGCGUGCCUAACACAUGCAAGUCGAACGGGGCCGCGCGAGGGGAGGGGAAGGCUUGCCUGACCCGAACCGGACGCGGCCUAGUGGCGGACGGGUGAGUAACGCGUGGGCAAUCUGCCCCGUACCGGGGGAUAACACCUGGAAACAGGUGCUAACACCGCAUGACAGGCGGGGGCGCAUGCCCCGGCCUUGAAAACUCCGGUGGUACGGGAUGAGCCCGCGUCCGAUUAGUCAGUUGGCGGGGUAACGGCCCACCAAAGCGACGAUCGGUAGCCGGCCUGAGAGGGUGGACGGCCACAUUGGGACUGAGACACGGCCCAAACUCCUACGGGAGGCAGCAGUGGGGAAUAUUGCACAAUGGGGGAAACCCUGAUGCAGCGACGCCGCGUGAGUGAAGAAGCGCCUCGGCGCGUAAAGCUCUGUCAGCAGGAACGAUAAUGACGGUACCUGAAGAAGAAGCCCCGGCUAACUACGUGCCAGCAGCCGCGGUAAUACGUAGGGGGCAAGCGUUAUCCGGAUUUACUGGGUGUAAAGGGAGCGUAGACGGCGGGGCAAGUCUGGAGUGAAAGGCCGGGGCCCAACCCCGGGACCGCUCUGGAAACUGCCCGGCUGGAGUGCGGGAGAGGUAAGCGGAAUUCCUAGUGUAGCGGUGAAAUGCGUAAAUAUUAGGAGGAACCCCAGCGGCGAAGGCGGCUUUCUGGACCGUGACUGACGUUGAGGCUCGAAAGCGUGGGGAAGCAACAGGAUUAGAUACCCUGGUAGUCCC
RNAcentral lists this ribosomal RNA (815 nucleotides) under uncultured bacterium. RNAcentral's name for it is "partial 16S ribosomal RNA". It matches the Rfam family "Bacterial small subunit ribosomal RNA", at positions 1 to 797 of the family's 1533-position model. The record is from RNAcentral.